RNAcentral lists this ribosomal RNA (253 nucleotides) under bacterium. Its description in RNAcentral is "partial 16S ribosomal RNA". It matches the Rfam family "Bacterial small subunit ribosomal RNA", at positions 524 to 776 of the family's 1533-position model. RNAcentral also lists the same sequence under 2 other names. The record is from RNAcentral.
UACGGGAGUGGCAAGCGUUAUCCGGAAUUAUUGGGCGUAAAGCGUCCGCAGGCGGUCUUGAAAGUCUGUUGUUAAAGCGUGGAGCUCAACUCCAUUUCAGCAAUGGAAACUAGAAGACUAGAGUGUGGUAGGGGCAGAGGGAAUUCCCGGUGUAGCGGUGAAAUGCGUAGAUAUCGGGAAGAACACCAGUGGCGAAGGCGCUCUGCUGGGCCAUAACUGACGCUCAUGGACGAAAGCCAGGGGAGCGAAAGGG